RNAcentral lists this long non-coding RNA (2908 nucleotides) under Ornithorhynchus anatinus (platypus). Its description in RNAcentral is "lncRNA (ENSOANG00000047582.1)". The record is from RNAcentral. Lineage: Eukaryota; Metazoa; Chordata; Mammalia; Monotremata; Ornithorhynchidae.
AUGUGUGAGUGCGUGAGUGUGAGUCAAUCAUGUACGUUUCGAGAGUGCCACAGAAAACGAGGGGCAACUUUCUCAAAUCUCGGGGACCUGAGGCUGUCUACAGUUCCAUUUGCAUUCGCAUUUGGUGCUGAAGCAAAAGGAAGGGAUCGACGCUCUCCAAAGCCUUCUUCGAAACUUCUGCGUUGGGGAUUCGGUGUCUCCCUGGAAAAAGGAUUAGACCACAAAGGAAACUGAAAUAUUGGGAAAAAAAAAAGGUGCCCCAGGGCAGAGAUCCACCCAAGAGAAAAGUCAAAAGCAGUCUUUGAACUGAAACAGCAAAAGAUGAAUGGGUCUGUUUGGUUGGGUCAUGUCUGGGAAAAAUGGUUUCCUGGCAUCUAUAGAAGAUCUUAUCUGAUGAGAUGAAGAAGAGGUUCUCCUCAAAGCAUCAGACAAAAGAAAAAUCAUGACUUGGAGGAUCAACUGUCAGUGGUCUCAUUAGCAGAAAAGGUGAUGUAACUUUACAGCUAAAAUUGGAACAGUUUAGAUCUCAGAAACCAAAUUGUAAGGCAAUUUUCACCUAUAUUUUUGGAGCCUUUUUAGUUGGGAUUUUUUCUUCUUUCAAUUGCAAAUAUAGAUCAGUCUGCUAAACUAAAGACACAAAACUCUAAAGUUGUGAUUUUUCAUUACCCUACCAAUCUCAUGUCCUCAGUACACUUUGUGAUUUUGAUCAAUUUUCACAAUCUCAAAUGCUGGUCAAAGUUCAUUCGUUCAUUCAUUCAUUCAAUCAUAUUUAUUGAGUGCUUACUGUGUGCAGAGCACUGUACUAAGUGCUUGGAAAAUACAAUUUGGCAGCAGAUAGAGACAAUCCCUACCCAUCAACGGGUAGUUCAGUAAAUAAAACUAGCAUAAGUAAAGUGCUCUGCACCACAAACAAUUAAGAGUUAAACUUUUCAGAAAUGAAUAUGAUUUGCAGAACUUUUUUCUUCCAUCUUUCCAGUUGUAUUGGCUCAAGGCCAAAGCACCACUUUCUUUUCUUCUCCAAGUAGCUCCUUGGCUUGGAGCCAUUUGGGGUGGCUCAUAGAAAUAAGGAAACUUUUGAGUCUCAAAUACCUCCCAUCUAAUUGGACCUUUAAGGAAUCCCCAGUUUGAUAUUGCUUUGGACCUUGGCACUUUUCAUCUGGUCAUGACUCUGUGACUGUGCUUAUGGCUGUAGCACCUGUGCAGUUCUGGGAAUGUAGCCCAAUAUCAAAAGGGCCAACUUUUCAUUUUGAGGUCAGAGUUGGAAAGGGGAGGAGAGAAACAAAAGUGAAGCUUGGAAUUGGCAGGCAGGAUUUGAGGAAUUAAUGGGUCAGAAAGAGCCAAUUUUCGAUCAUUUCAGCCCUGCUCGGAAAUUCUUAGCUCAUUUCAGUCCUACACCAGGAAAACAGUGACUUUUAGAAUGACAUUUGUUCCAGAAAAAAGCAAAAGGCAUUGAUUUAAUUCCUAGUUAAUUUUCCUGGUUAAUAAGACAGGUAUCUGUAAAUGGUUUUCAUGAAAAAUAAUUAUCUUCAUGGAAGAGCCAAACAACAACUAAAUAGAAAAAACUCCCAAAAAAAUCAUUUUAAAAGGGUCUGAAAUGCUUGCAUAAAUACUAUCAGACAAAAUUUGUUGAUAUUUUAAUUUUAGUUUCCCUACUGGUUUAGCUUGCGCCUAUUCAAAAGUGAAUAUGCAAUCUUUUUUAGCAAUUAAUCUGUGGGAAAGUUUGUUUGUCAUCUGGAGGACAUGACUCUUUACAAUAUUGAUGACUAUACACAUUGAUAAAUGUUGUGGAUACAGAUAGAUCAAUGUCCUGGAAAUAAAACAGACAAUGAACAGAGAAUAUUGCAUCUAAAAUACUGAAAGUACUCAACUUUCAGAACUUAUCAACAGCAUUACAAUUAACACAUUUACUAUCAAAGUUCAAUUUAUUUUCAACGUCUGCAAGUUCUGUAUGCCUAGAUUUUUUUUCAUAUUUUAGAAUUAUUAACCAAAUCUAUUAAUUGUCCUGUUUUCAAGUUGUUGUUUUUUAAAUGACUUAUUUUUAGGAAAAUUCUAUUACUUUUCAAUAUUAAAAGAAUGCAGAGAAAAAGCACAGUAUUUUUAGGAAAUAGUGUCAAUCUGUAUGAUUUCUGACAAAGUGGAAUAAAUUUGGAUGUAGACAAAAAUAUUGUGUCCAUUUUUCACUUUGCCUAGUGUUUCAUUAACCUAUAUUCCAUUCAAUCAGAUUUCUUGCUCCUUAUCCUUUAUCAUUUUUACUAUGUAUUGUAUGUUCAUUUUGAGUCUCUUGAAGCUCAGGCUCUCAAAGCAUAAUUUUGACUUAAUAGUUCUGCUUGUAACUAGCCUCCUGCAUGUUGCUAGGAUACCAUUUUGAUGGUCAACUGGCUCUAGGGCUGCUUUUAUUGGUUGCUGGUCUGGCAGAGAAUAUUUGUUUUCAUCCUUUUAAUGUAUGAACUAUGACUCAGUUAUUUUUAUUUUUAUUGGUAGUUUUGAGAAAACAUCAAUCCCAAAUGCUUUCAAUUAAAGCUUAGCUAGCAAUUAUGAAACCUCAUUUAUAUGGUUUACACUUUGUCAUUCCAAAUUGAUCAGUUUGCAAUAGCUUAAUGAUUACUAUAUGGCCUUUUAAUAUUUGUUAAUUUGAGAACAUAUGAAUAUAUUGAUUAAGAUUGUGGGUAGGAGAGCUUUCACAGACUCAUUUUUUGGGGAAAGAACAGUGUGGGGCAAAAAGUAAGUGCUCAAUAAAUAUGAUUGAUAGAUUGGUUGAUUGAAGAAAUUGUUUAUUUUCAGAAUAUUCUUAUUGGAGCAAUUAAGCAACUCAUCUUCAUUCAUUCUGGUAAAAUGUUCAAUUAUCAGAGAAGCCUAUGUAUAGAUUUUUUUAUGCAUUGUCAAUAUUAUUUUAUGUCUCUAUUUCUUU